AUGGCUCGUCCUACUCAGCUUCUUCCCCUCUUCAUACUGAUACAACUCUACUCAGUAGCUGCAUCGAAUUAUCAUGCCCAUGGCGAUGGCCAUGGUAAUGCCACAGCUUCUUCUUACUGUCAUCCAGACCAGGCUGCAGCACUUCUCGAACUAAAGCAGUCCUUCAUCUUCGACUACUCCACCACCACCCUGUCGUCUUGGCAACCUAGCACCGACUGCUGCCUUUGGGAGGGUGUAGGCUGUGAUGAUGACAUAUCAAGCAGUGGCGGCAGUGUCACUGUUCUUGACCUUGGUGGUCGUGGCCUCUACAGCUACGGUUGCCAUGCCGCACUCUUCAACCUCACCUCCCUGCGCUACCUCGACCUCAGCAUGAACGAUUUUGGCGGAUCUCGCAUUCCAGCAGUUGGCUUUGAGAGGUUAUCCAAGCUCACACACCUCAACCUUUCUCAUUCAGGUUUUUACGGUCAGAUACCGAUCGCUAUCGGCAAAAUCUCGAGUCUUAUAUCAUUGGACCUUUCUGUAGUUCGAGAUAUUAAUCCAUCAGAUGAAAUUACAUAUACCCUUGCUCUCGUAGAGGACCACUAUCUUCUGCUACAUGAGCCUAGCUUUGAGAACUUAGUGAGAAAUCUUACCAAUCUGAGGGAACUCUAUGUUGAUGGAGUGGACAUUUCAAGUAGCGGCGAACAGUGGUGCAGUGGUCUAGGUAAAGCUGUCCCCAGUCUUCGUAUUCUUAGCAUGGCAUACUGCAGACUUCGUGGUCCAAUCCACUCCUCCUUGUCAAAUGUUCGACUCCUUACCGUGAUCAACCUAAAUUUUAAUGAUAUUUAUGGUGCCGUUCCUGAAUUCUUUGCGGACUUUCUCAAUUUAAGCCUUCUUCAACUCCGUUUCAACAAUUUCAGUGGUUUGUUUCCUCAGAAAAUAUUUCAACUCAAGAAUAUAAGAGUGCUUGAUGUAUCAGGCAACGGUGAACUCUCAGGGCAUUUACCAGGAUUUCCAAAUGGGACUUCUUUGGAGACUUUGAAUUUGUAUUAUACCAAUUUCUCUGCUAUUAGGCUGAGCUCUUUAAGCAACCUCCAGUCUCUGAGGGAGCUAGGUAUUAAUGGAAGGUCAAUUUCUAUAGAGCCAACUGAUUUAUUGUUCAACAAGUUCAACUCCUUGCAAAAUUUACAGCUCUCUUUUUCUCAAUUUCCGGGAGAGUUAGGACCAUUUUUCUCAUGGAUUAGUAGCCUUGAGAACUUGGCAAGCUUGCAACUCUCUAACUGCUAUUCCUCCAUGAUAAUGCCCCCUAUGAUUGGUAACCUCACCAACUUGACAAGUUUGGAAAUAACUUAUUGUGGCUUUAUUGGGCAAAUACCACCAUCAAUUGGCAACCUCAAGAAGUUGACUUCCUUGAGAAUCUAUGCUUGUGACUUCUCUGGGACAAUACCAUCUUCAAUUGGCAAUCUCAAGAACCUAAGAAUCUUAGAAAUAUCUCAUAGUGGCUUGUCUGGUCCAAUAACAACGGAUAUUGGACAUCUCAGCAACGUGAUGGUAUUAAUUUUGGUGGGCUGCAGGUUUUCUGGCAUAAUACCUAGUACAAUUGCCAACUUGACUCAACUCAUUUUGGUGGAUCUUUCAUACAAUUUCCUUGAAGGUAAGAUUCCAAUAUCUCUAUUCACGUCUCCAAAAAUGUUAUGGUUGGAUCUUCGGUCAAACCAAUUUUCUAGACCAAUACAAGAGUUUGAUACAACAUAUUCACAAUUGGGAGCCAUUCAUUUGAAUGAAAAUCAAAUUACUGGACAGAUUCCAACAUCAUUAUUUCAGCUCAAACAUUUGGUGGCCCUGGAUCUUAGCUCAAACAACUUAACAGGUUCUGUACAAUUGAGUUCACUAUGGAAGUUAAGAAAGCUGGAUAACUUGCACCUCUCGGACAACAGAUUGUCCGUCUUGGAGGGAGAAAGUAGUAAAUCCAUGGUACCCAUACUCCCUAAACUCUCAGUAGUAUCACUAGCAUCUUGCAACAUGACAACAAUUCCAGGACUCUUGAUGCAUGUUAAUCACAUCGAAUCAUUGGACCUUUCAAACAACAAAAUUCAUGGGACUAUACCCCAAUGGAUAUGGGAGAAAUGGGAUGAUAGCCUUACACACAUAAAUCUUUCAAACAACAUAUUCACACAUAUGCAACUCACUUCAUUUGUUCUCCCAUGCAAUCAUUUGGAAUCCCUUGAUCUCAGUUCCAAUAGACUUCAAGGCCAGAUCCCAAUGCCAAACCUAUUUUCAGUAGUUGGCAAUUUCUUUCAAGUCCUGGAUUAUUCCAACAAUAGAUUCUCUUCUCUCAUGACAAACUUCACUCGUCAUCUUAGCAAAACUCAUUACCUCAAAUUGUCCCGGAAUAACCUAAGUGGGCCUGUACCGCAUUCAAUUUGCAACUCAAGCAAACUAGAAGUCCUUGACCUGUCAUAUAACAACUUCAGUGGGUUGAUACCAUCUUGUUUGAUAGAAGACACCCACAUGAGUAUAUUAAAUCUGAGAGAGAAUCACUUUCAAGGAACAUUUCCGUAUAAUGUUAGUGAGCAAUGCAAUCUCCAGAGAAUAGAUUUGCACGGUAAUAAGAUUAAGGGGCAGCUGCCUAGAUCUCUUUCCAACUGUGCUGACCUGGAGGUCCUUGACAUUGGAAACAAUCAGAUUGUUGAUACUUUCCCAUCUUGGCUGAGUAGGCUUUCCAAUCUCCGUGUCCUUGUUUUGGGAUCCAACCAGUUCUAUGGCUCGCUUGUUUAUCCACCCAGAGAUAGCAAAUUCAGGAAAUACUUCUCAAAGUUACAAAUCAUUGACAUAGCCUCAAACAACUUCUCUGGAAAUUUGGAUCCACGAUGGUUUGAGAGAUUGACAUCAAUGAUGGCGAAGUUCAAUGGCACUGGAAAUAGUUUAGGUACUCCAAUUGCAUACAGAGGUGUAUACUACCAUGAUACUGUUGCACUCAUGUACAAAGGGCAAUACGUGGAAUUCAGUAAAAUCUUGACUACCUUAACCGCAAUUGAUAUCUCAAAUAAUGUAUUCGAUGGUGAGAUUCCUAAAUCAGCUGGAAGGCUAAUUUCGCUGCAUGUAUUGAACAUGUCACGUAAUGCAUUUACGGGGAGGAUUCCACCACAAAUUGGUGAGAUGCGUCAAUUGGAGUCACUAGACUUGUCAUGGAACAAGCUUUCUGGGGAGAUUCCACAAGAGCUGACAGAUUUAACAUUUCUUGGCACCUUGAACUUGUGUGGAAACAGGCUGGAUGGAAGAAUACCAGAAUCACGCCAAUUUGCAACAUUUGAGAACACUUCAUAUGAAGGGAAUGCAGGGCUCUGUGGACCGCCUUUAUCCAAAGAAUGUGGCAUUUCAAGUAAUCCAAAUGAGGCACAAGUGAACACAUCCGGAGAUCAUGCUGAUAUUAUUUUGUUUCUCUUCGUUGGUCUGGGCUUUGGUGUUGGCUUCACCGUAGGAAUUCUAGUGAAAUGGGGCAAAUGGUUUCGGAUUGUGUGA
This 3501-nucleotide ribosomal RNA is filed under the name Triticum aestivum (bread wheat). RNAcentral's name for it is "partial small subunit ribosomal RNA". Lineage: Eukaryota; Viridiplantae; Streptophyta; Magnoliopsida; Poales; Poaceae. The record is from RNAcentral.